AAGUCGUAACAAGGUAACCGUAGGUGAACCUGCGGUUGGAUCAUUAAAGAAUUAUGAUGUGUCGGCGCCGCGUAAAAACCGGUGCCCUCACACUCAUAUCCACCUCUUUGUGUAACGUUUCCCGUAUUUUGGCGGUCCACAAACCAUGGGUGUCAGACACUUCAGUGUCUUUCGCUCGGACCGCCAGCCACCAAACAACACCUUGUUAUGUUUUGUGACUUUGAAAGCCUUUUUAUAGGUUUCUAAAAUUUGAAAACAACUUUUGACAACGGAUCUCUUGGCUCUC
This 286-nucleotide unclassified non-coding RNA is filed under the name fungal sp. RNAcentral describes it as "partial internal transcribed spacer region". The stretch from base 1 to 46 matches the Rfam family "Eukaryotic small subunit ribosomal RNA", at positions 1786 to 1831 of the family's 1831-position model. Lineage: Eukaryota; Fungi. The record is from RNAcentral.